RNAcentral lists this long non-coding RNA (1603 nucleotides) under Manihot esculenta (cassava). RNAcentral describes it as "long non-coding RNA (MESC_LNC002953)". The record is from RNAcentral. Lineage: Eukaryota; Viridiplantae; Streptophyta; Magnoliopsida; Malpighiales; Euphorbiaceae.
GCCGGUCACAGCCCCUUCUGCGCAUUCCUCCUCGCCGGUCACAGCCCCUUCCGCGCGUUCCUCCUCGCCGGUCGUAGCCUCUCCAAUGCCGACACCGUCGCCGUCCACUUCCUUGCCAGAUGCAACCAUGCGCCCGCAUUCACAGAUGAAAGGUAAGGUUCCUAUUUAUGACUUAAUGAGUGAUGAUGAGGAAGAAUGGGAGGUGAAACCUGAAAUCCUGAGGCAACUCCAAGAACAAAAAAUGCAACCCAGAACCAUAAAAUUAAUCGUGGAAGCUUCGGAGGACAGCAGCGAGGACACAACCUCGAGUGCCAGUGAAGAAAUCCAGGCUGAUUCUCCUCCAAAGAAAAAGCAGAAAAAACGGAUGCCCAGAAUAGCUGGUGGAAAGGCCAGAUAGAACCUGCAGAGCAAGACCUUCAUGGCAGUUUUAGCUUUGUCGGCGAUGAUGAGGUGAGAUAUAAAAUUUUUCUCCAUUCUGAUAUUUAUGCUUGUAAGAAAAUAAAUGAUGAUACCUUGAUCCAAUUGCAAUUGUAUGAUGAAGUUUAUGCAUUAAUUGAUACAAUUGGAUGGAGAAAAUUUUUUUUUAUAGAUUGUCCCUCCUAUGUUGAGCUUUGCCGUGACUUUUAUGCAACCUAUGAGUUUUCUUUUUAUGCACAGGAUUUUAAUUUGAAUAUUCCUACAAUUCGUUUUAGGUUGCAAAAUAAAAUGGUCCAAUGUUCAAUCACAACAUUUAAUUUGUACUUGGGUAUUUAUGAUAAUGAAUAUGUCAAAACUGUUAAAUAUUUAGAUUCAUUAUGUGACUACCCAGUGGAUUGGGAUCCAAUUUUAGCAUACAAGGAGUUAACAGGGAAACUUGAGCUUAAAUUUAGGGGUGGGAAAUCUAAAGCUAAUGAUAUUCAGAGCCUUGCCCUUAGAUACCUUCAUAGGUUCCUAUGUUACACAUUUUCUGGAAAAAAUAAAGAUCCAACUAAACUCACAAAAUAUGAACUCUUCUUCUUAUGGUGCAUGUUAAAAAAAAGAGAAGUUAAUUUUGAUUUUUGGUUAGCCUCCCAGUUUAAAAGUAUAUCUAAUGUUGGGCGUGGUAUAUACUUGGGUUUUGUAAUUUCAAUGCUAGCAGUAGGGUUGGGUGUACUUGAUAUUAAAAACACUAAUUUACACAUAGCUGAGCCUAUUCUUCCACUUGAUAUAUCUGCACUUAAUUAUAUGGGCUUACUUUGCCUCAAUGAGAGGAAAAAAUUUGUGUUUUGUCCUUCACGUCCUAUCAUUCCACCAUGAUCGCGUUUAUUUCGGACAGAGGACCAAUCAGCUUCAGCCUCAGCCUCCUCAGCAGCAUCUCUAGAACCUAGUGAUCAAGCCCGCCUAGCCAGAAUUGAGGCAAAAAUGCACCAUAUGGAUGCCAAAUUGGAUGUCAUUCUCUCUCACUUGGGGUUGCCCAUACCCCAACCACCAGCAGCCUAAGUUCUAUGCGACUUACUCUUAAGGGAAGUUCUCUUUGAUUUACUUUUAUUUUAUUUUGUGCACUUCCCUGUUUAAUUGAAUUUUUUUCCACAUUGAGGACAAUGUAAGGAGUAAGUGUGGGGGAGAUGUGGUAUGGAAAUAGAAG